UACGGAGGGUGCAAGCGUUAAUCGGAAUUACUGGGCGUAAAGCGCACGUAGGUGGUUUUGUAAGCCAGAUGUGAAAGCCCCGGGCUCAACCUGGGAACUGCAUUUGGGACUGCAAGGCUGGAGUACGGCAGAGGGAGGUGGAAUUCCACGUGUAGCAGUGAAAUGCGUAGAGAUGUGGAGGAACACCGAUGGCGAAGGCAGCCUCCUGGGCUAGUACGUGACGCUCA
This 227-nucleotide ribosomal RNA is filed under the name uncultured bacterium. Its description in RNAcentral is "partial 16S ribosomal RNA". It matches the Rfam family "Bacterial small subunit ribosomal RNA", at positions 524 to 749 of the family's 1533-position model. The record is from RNAcentral.